This 251-nucleotide ribosomal RNA is filed under the name uncultured prokaryote. RNAcentral describes it as "partial 16S ribosomal RNA". It matches the Rfam family "Bacterial small subunit ribosomal RNA", at positions 525 to 775 of the family's 1533-position model. The record is from RNAcentral.
ACGGAAGGUGCGAGCGUUAAUCGGAAUUACUGGGCGUAAAGCGCACGUAGGCGGUUACUUAAGUCGGAUGUGAAAGCCCCGGGCUCAAACUGGGAAUUGCAUCCGAUACUGGGUGACUAGAGUACGGUAGAGGGGGGUGGAAUUCCAGGUGUAGCGGUGAAAUGCGUAGAGAUCUGGAGGAACACCGGUGGCGAAGGCGACGCGCUGGGCCUGGCCUGACGCUAAGACGCCAAAGCAUGGGGAGCGAACGG